Molecule: ribosomal RNA, 518 nt
Filed under: uncultured Bifidobacterium sp.
Lineage: Bacteria; Bacillati; Actinomycetota; Actinomycetes; Bifidobacteriales; Bifidobacteriaceae
Description: bacterial SSU rRNA
Rfam family: Bacterial small subunit ribosomal RNA
Source: RNAcentral
GGGUGGUAAUGCCGGAUGCUCCAUCACACCGCAUGGUGUGUUGGGAAAGCCUUUGCGGCAUGGGAUGGGGUCGCGUCCUAUCAGCUUGAUGGCGGGGUAACGGCCCACCAUGGCUUCGACGGGUAGCCGGCCUGAGAGGGCGACCGGCCACAUUGGGACUGAGAUACGGCCCAGACUCCUACGGGAGGCAGCAGUGGGGAAUAUUGCACAAUGGGCGCAAGCCUGAUGCAGCGACGCCGCGUGCGGGAUGGAGGCCUUCGGGUUGUAAACCGCUUUUGAUCGGGAGCAAGCCCUUCGGGGUGAGUGUACCUUUCGAAUAAGCACCGGCUAACUACGUGCCAGCAGCCGCGGUAAUACGUAGGGUGCAAGCGUUAUCCGGAAUUAUUGGGCGUAAAGGGCUCGUAGGCGGUUCGUCGCGUCCGGUGUGAAAGUCCAUCGCUUAACGGUGGAUCCGCGCCGGGUACGGGCGGGCCUGAGUGCGGUAGGGGAGACUGGAAUUCCCGGUGUAACGGUGGAAU